GACUCAACCAACCAGUUUCGACAACGCGAACUCCGAACUUAAUCGAAACAUCAAAGGA
This is a non-coding RNA of Drosophila mojavensis, 58 nucleotides long. Lineage: Eukaryota; Metazoa; Arthropoda; Insecta; Diptera; Drosophilidae. The record is from Rfam.